GAUGAACGCUAGCGACAGGCCUAACACAUGCAAGUCGAGGGGUAACAGGGGCUUCGGCCCGCUGACGACCGGCGCACGGGUGAGUAACGCGUAUGCAACCUACCUGUAACAGGGGGAUAGCUCCCUGAAAGGGGAAUUAACACCGCAUAAGACUACGCUACUGCAUGGUAGGGUGGUAAAAUAUUUAUAGGUUACAGAAGGGCAUGCGUGACAUUAGCUAGUUGGCGGGGUAACGGCCCACCAAGGCAACGAUGUCUAGGGGUUCUGAGAGGAAGGUCCCCCACACUGGUACUGAGACACGGACCAGACUCCUACGGGAGGCAGCAGUGAGGAAUAUUGGUCAAUGGGCGCAAGCCUGAACCAGCCAUGUCGCGUGCAGGAAGACUGCCCUAUGGGUUGUAAACUGCUUUUUUACGGGAAGAAAACCAGCUACGCGUAGUUGUUUGCCGGUACCGUAGGAAUAAGCAUCGGCUAACUCCGUG
This 482-nucleotide ribosomal RNA is filed under the name uncultured bacterium. RNAcentral describes it as "bacterial SSU rRNA". It matches the Rfam family "Bacterial small subunit ribosomal RNA", at positions 28 to 507 of the family's 1533-position model. The record is from RNAcentral.